RNAcentral lists this long non-coding RNA (1912 nucleotides) under Homo sapiens (human). RNAcentral describes it as "HSALNT0372988". Lineage: Eukaryota; Metazoa; Chordata; Mammalia; Primates; Hominidae. The record is from RNAcentral.
AACAAAUCCUGCAAGACAGGCAACUGCCUUUGAUUUAGAAAUGCAUGACCUAGAGUUAGAGAAAAGCUUGAGGACAGUUUGUACAUUCUGGUCCUGGCUUUAUACAACUGAAACUGAGGAUGGCAAAUAAUUUCAUUACAUCUAACAGCUCCAGUUGAUUGUGAAGGCUCUCUGGACCAUGAGGAAUUAUGAGUGUGUGGAGUCCUGAUUCCAGUUGGAUGGACAACCCAGAACUACUGCCUGACCACCCAUCUGACUGCAAGCACUACCACUUCCCAAAAGCUCCUUGGAUACUGACACUGGCCUGAUUGGUGCCCAAGUUCACAGCCUCCUGGGGACACCUUCAAUUUGAUGAUUGGAUACUAUCAGCUGUGAAAAGCAGAUCCACAGGAGAGUUACUUCUUUAGCCCUGGCCCAGCUGUCCUUCCUCCCCACUUUCUGAUGCCUUAAGGAGUCCCUGAUUGCUCCAGGAACAUAUCUACCCUUUCCAGUUUAAGAAGAGAUUCAGAGCUGUGUGUCUUGGUGAAGUCUGCACAGCUGAUCAGUGGGACAGGACCCUGGCUGGUCUUGUGACUCUAUGUCUAGGGUUUUCUCUGCUGCUGAUGGCUCCCUUUGCCAGGGACGCUUACAUUCAGUGAUGGGUCGAGGUGGGAAUACAAAGUCUGGCCCCCUUUCCCAUGGGCUUGGAUCUUUGUCGUCACUACAAGGGGCUCAAUUUCUCCUUCCGAGAGAUUGUUCCCUAGAGCAGACCCCAAUAAAUUUCCUGCAUGCAAAUCUCAGACUCACAUUACCCAAACCCUAAUGAUGAGGAAGAUGGGAUGGUGAUUAUACCUCACUGUCUCUAAAAAUUGAGCCUGAGCUGAUAUUGACAAGAAUAUUCAAGUGGUGGCAAGUGAAUUAAUUGGCUUAUAUUUACUGCCUAUUUUAAAAUAUGUUAUUUCUUUAUUUGAAGUUCCCAUUAGGAAGAGAAUACACGAACUUGAAUUUCACAAGUAUGUGUGAAUUACAAAAGUGUGAUAGAUUUUUAGCAAGAAUACAUUUUUAGGUUGCUUUCAGACAUUGAUUAUUCUCAGUAAGGCAUGGAAUCUGGGUCGAGAAAUAUUAUCUUUUAUGUUAGAACUGUAAACUGAACAGCUGAUUAAUAAUUCACUAAUAACUGUUGUUACCUAUUUCUUCCCAAAGUCUAAAUAUAUCAUAAACUCUAUUAUUAGGCUUAGUAAGAAUAUAGGACCUUUUAGGAAAACUAAUAUCCUGAUAAAUAGAGUUGUCACAUUUCCAUAAUGCUUUAUCAAUUUUUAAUGAAUUUUAAAAUAGUAAGAUAUAUUUAAUACCAAAAGUCUGACGCACAUAGUUUAAUUUUAUUUUUGGUAAUUCCAAAGACAUUUGGCAUAUGAGUAAUUAUCCAUGUGUUAUAAACAUGCAGUGAUAACAGUUAUUAGAGAAUGACGGAUAAAGCCAGUUUUAAUUUGACUGUAUCUAUGAUGAUGUUGUAUGGAUCUUAUUGAAUAUAAAUAUAAAGACUGUUAUAAAUAUUGGUAAUUGGGAAUAGAGCUGCUUAUGGGUACAUCAGUAAACUCAUUAAUUAAAAUUGGAUUAGACAGAUUAAAAAAAGUUUAAAUUAAGAUAGAAUUCACAUAUACUGUAUAUUAGGUGUAAAUAAUCUGAUUUAUAUUGUAAAGAGUAUAUAGCCAUGUAUCCAACAUACUAUUCAAGAUAUGGAACAUCUCCAAAGCAGGGAUUAUGUGGGAAAGAUCUUUUGGAUUUCUGACUUUCCUGGACAGUGUGCUCAGCUCCCUGAUAGGGCUUGUUGGCAGGUGAAUCCUGAUGCCCCUCCACCUACCUUCUCAUCACUAUUGUUUCCUGCGACUUCCAGCGCUGUUUAUUGCAUGUUUAAUCUGCUGAUCCUCACCAU